UAUCUUUUCAGUCACUGAUAUCUGAAGACGACUUGCUGUGCUUGCAUAGUUACCUCACCUGACUAGUAACUAGAUGGGAUGGCUAAUCCAUUUUGGUUUACGAAAUUUGGGGCUCCAUUUAUUUAUCACUUUAUAUUAUCACUUGGCUGAUUGGGUUAAGCACAAUCUUGUGCAUAGUGAAUCCGGUUCUGGAAAUACUAAUAUUGUAAUCCAUGUGACUGCCACACUAAACUGUACUUGGCUUUCCAUUAAUUCCAUCAGUUGGCACAAGGACGGAUAUAUAUUAUAACUGAUCUGAGCAUCUGGACAGCUCAAUCUCAGACAAACUAGAGGGAUUACAAGCCUACUUAAGGAAUGAAAAAU
Long non-coding RNA from Gadus macrocephalus (Pacific cod), 363 nucleotides. RefSeq lists it as uncharacterized. The record is from RefSeq and is a predicted model, not a curated record. Lineage: Eukaryota; Metazoa; Chordata; Actinopteri; Gadiformes; Gadidae. The transcript is spliced from 2 exons.